Molecule: long non-coding RNA, 247 nt
Filed under: Ananas comosus (pineapple)
Lineage: Eukaryota; Viridiplantae; Streptophyta; Magnoliopsida; Poales; Bromeliaceae
Description: long non-coding RNA (ACOM_LNC019702)
Source: RNAcentral
UGUGUGAAAAUCUUAUUUUGGGAAUUUUAAAAUUAAAGGUUAAGCAUAUUAUUAAAUAUUUCUAUAAAUUGAGCUUCAGCUGUGAUUGACAAGUUCUUUUAGUAAAAAAAAAAAAUUUAAUUUGAUAAUUUAUUCUGUAAAUUAGUGACCGGAUAAAUUUUGAAUUAUGAUGUCUCUUGGUAUUCUGCUAUGCAAUGUUGGCCAUAUCGACAUGCAUACUGUUAUAGAAGUUAGCUUCGUCUUUGUA